Molecule: ribosomal RNA, 403 nt
Filed under: uncultured organism
Description: bacterial SSU rRNA
Rfam family: Bacterial small subunit ribosomal RNA
Source: RNAcentral
UAGGGAAUAUUGCGCAAUGGGGGAAACCCUGACGCAGCAACGCCGCGUGAGUGAUGAAGGCUCUAGGGUCGUAAAGCUCUGUCGUGGGGGAAGAUAAUGACGGUACCCCACAAGAAAGGACCGGCUAACUUCGUGCCAGCAGCCGCGGUAAUACGAGGGGUCCUAGCGUUGUUCGGAAUUAUUGGGCGUAAAGCGGAUGUAGGCGGCUAGAUAAGUCAGAUGUGAAAGCCCUGGGCUCAACCUAGGAAGCGCAUUUGAAACUAUUUAGCUUGAGUACGGGAGAGGGCAGUGGAAUUCCUGGUGUAGUGGUGAAAUACGUAGAUAUCAGGAGGAACAUCGGUGGCGAAGGCGGCUGCCUGGCCCAGUACUGACGCUAAGAUCCGAAAGCGUGGGGAGCAAACAG